UGGGGAAUCUUGGACAAUGGGCGCAAGCCUGAUCCAGCCAUGCCGCGUGAGUGACGAAGGCCUUAGGGUUGUAAAGCUCUUUUGGCGGGGACGAUAAUGACGGUACCCGCAGAAUAAGCCCCGGCUAACUUCGUGCCAGCAGCCGCGGUAAUACGAAGGGGGCUAGCGUUGUUCGGAAUUACUGGGCGUAAAGCGCACGUAGGCGGAUGUGCCAGUCAGGGGUGAAAUCCCGAGGCUCAACCUCGGAACUGCCUCCGAUACAGCACGUCUCGAGUCCGGAAGAGGUGAGUGGAAUUCCUAGUGUAGAGGUGAAAUUCGUAGAUAUUAGGAAGAACACCAGUGGCGAAGGCGGCUCACUGGUCCGGUACUGACGCUGAGGUGCGAAAGCGUGGGGAGCAAACAGGAUUAGAUACCCCCGUAGUCCCUGAGCGGGCUGGCAAGGCGCAU
RNAcentral lists this ribosomal RNA (447 nucleotides) under uncultured bacterium. Its description in RNAcentral is "bacterial SSU rRNA". It matches the Rfam family "Bacterial small subunit ribosomal RNA", at positions 355 to 825 of the family's 1533-position model. The record is from RNAcentral.